UGUCGCGGAUGAGGCCCGGGUCGGACAUGCGGGCGACGCCGCCCUGCGCGCGGAUGUCGGCGGGGACGCGCUCCAGGGCCAUGACGGCGCAGGCCCCGGCCUCCUCGGCGAGGCGCGCCUGCUCCGGGGUGACGACGUCCAUGAUGACGCCGCCGCGCAGCAUCUGCGCUAGGCCGACCUUGACGGAGAAGGUGGACUUGGACUGCUUGGAGGGCUCCAGCAGGGCGGCGCCGUUGUUGCCGUAGACGGUGACCACGCCGCUGCCGUUGCCGUCGGAAGCCAUUUCGUUCUCUCUUGGGAGGUGGGGUGGGGGAUUGGUUGGGUUUCUCUCUGGAUCUGCUUACUAGUCUCUCUGCUCCCUCUCUCUCGGG
This 371-nucleotide long non-coding RNA is filed under the name Setaria italica (foxtail millet). Its description in RNAcentral is "long non-coding RNA (SITA_LNC007459)". The record is from RNAcentral. Lineage: Eukaryota; Viridiplantae; Streptophyta; Magnoliopsida; Poales; Poaceae.